AGAGUUUGAUCCUGGCUCAGGAUGAACGCUGGCGGCGUGCUUAACACAUGCAAGUCGAGCGAAGCACUUUGGAAAGAUUCUUCGGAUGAUUUCCUUUGUGACUGAGCGGCGGACGGGUGAGUAACGCGUGGGUAACCUGCCUCAUACAGGGGGAUAACAGUUAGAAAUGACUGCUAAUACCGCAUAAGACCACGGUACCGCAUGGUACAGUGGUAAAAACUCCGGUGGUAUGAGAUGGACCCGCGUCUGAUUAGCUAGUUGGUGAGGUAACGGCCCACCAAGGCGACGAUUGGUAGCCGGACUGAGAGGUUGAACGGCCACAUUGGGACUGAGACACGGCCCAGACUCCUACGGGAGGCAGCAGUGGGGGAUAUGGCACAAUGGGGGAAACCCUGAUGCAGCGACGCCGCGUGGAGGAAGAAGGUUUUCGGAUUGUAAACUCCUGUCGUUAGGGACGAUAAUGACGGUACCUAACAAGAAAGCACCGGCUAACUACGUGCCAGCAGCCGCGGUAAAACGUAGGGUGCAAGCGUUGUCCGGAAUUACUGGGUGUAAAGGGAGCGCAGGCGGACCGGCAAGUUGGAAGUGAAAACUAUGGGCUCAACCCAUAAAUUGCUUUCAAAACUGCUGGCCUUGAGUAGUGCAGAGGUAGGUGGAAUUCCCGGUGUAGCGGUGGAAUGCGUAGAUAUCGGGAGGAACACCAGUGGCGAAGGCGACCUACUGGGCACCAACUGACGCUGAGGCUCGAAAGCAUGGGUAGCAAACAGGAUUAGAUACCCUGGUAGUCCAUGCCGUAAACGAUGAUUACUAGGUGUUGGAGGAUUGACCCCUUCAGUGCCGCAGUUAACACAAUAAGUAAUCCACCCGGGGAGUACGACCGCAAGGUUGAAACUCAAAGGAAUUGACGGGGGCCCGCACAAGCAGUGGAGUAUGUGGUUUAAUUCGAAGCAACGCGAAGAACCUUACCAGGUCUUGACAUCCGAUGCAUAGCUUAGAGAUAAGUGAAGUCCUUCGGGACAUCGAGACAGGUGGUGCAUGGUUGUCGUCAGCUCGUGUCGUGAGAUGUUGGGUUAAGUCCCGCAACGAGCGCAACCCUUAUUGCCAGUUACUACGCAAGAGGACUCUGGCGAGACUGCCGUUGACAAAACGGAGGAAGGUGGGGAUGACGUCGAAUCAUCAUGCCCUUUAUGACCUGGGCUACACACGUACUACAAUGGCGUUUAACAAAGAGAAGCAAGACCGCGAGGUGGAGCAAAACUCAAAAACAACGUCUCAGUUCAGAUUGCAGGCUGCAACUCGCCUGCAUGAAGUCGGAAUUGCUAGUAAUCGCGGAUCAGCAUGCCGCGGUGAAUACGUUCCCGGGCCUUGUACACACCGCCCGUCACACCAUGGGAGUUUGUAACACCCGAAGUCUGUUGCCUAACCGCAAGGAGGGCGCAGCCGAAGGUGGGAUAAGCGACUGGGGUGAAGUCGUAACAAGGUA
This 1483-nucleotide ribosomal RNA is filed under the name metagenome. Its description in RNAcentral is "bacterial SSU rRNA". It matches the Rfam family "Bacterial small subunit ribosomal RNA". The record is from RNAcentral.